AUGACCUUGAAGUUUGUUUUGUCCUUAACUUGAAUCAUUGCCUAAUAUACAAUAUAACAAGUAUCAAAUCUCGGAAAAAGUUAAUAAUAAAUAGAAAAAAAAAGAGAAAUAGAGAAAUAGAAAAGGAAGACACACACAAUGUUAUCCUUUAGGACGUUUAAUUCAUGGAUGAAGGAUUAUCUGACCAGGUUUUAUAGUUCAGGUGUCCCAAUUCCAUCCGGACCGGACUGCGUAUUAAUAAACGGACUUCAUUUUAGCAGUGCAUAGGUUUUACUGCUGUAAUAAGAAGCCUAGGGAUUACCAUAUAGAUUCUUAUCGUUGUCAACCCUUGGAGUCUUGUGUAAAACACCAUAUAUCAUAGUCUUUAUCAUUUGUUCAUUGCUCAAAUAAUUAUUUGACCAGAAAUGUCAUAUUAGUGUAUAGUUGGUGAAUAUUUAAUACACUGAAUUUAUUGUAACCUUAUCCUCAAUAUGUCGACUUUUCCUGUGGUAUGAAAAUCCGGUGAAAACCAUUGACCUUGGACAAACAAAAAAUUACAUAUUUUAAAAGUGCAACUAUAUAGGUCUGACAUUGAUACAAAAAUGAAUAACUAUGUCAAAACUUCAUAGAUUUUUAUCAAACUGUGGACUGAAGCUUCUUCAUAUUUCACAGAAGCAACCCGAGAUAAAUUUUGAUUUUAA
Molecule: long non-coding RNA, 680 nt
Organism: Mytilus californianus (California mussel)
Lineage: Eukaryota; Metazoa; Mollusca; Bivalvia; Mytilida; Mytilidae
Exons: 2
Source: RefSeq, a predicted model, not a curated record